UCCCUGGUGGCUCAGAUGGUAAAGCGUCUGCCUGCAAUGCAGGAGACCUGGGUUCGAUUCCUGGGUCGGGAA
This 72-nucleotide transfer RNA is filed under the name Ovis aries (sheep). It matches the Rfam family "tRNA". From Rfam's summary of the family: Transfer RNA (tRNA) molecules are approximately 80 nucleotides in length. Lineage: Eukaryota; Metazoa; Chordata; Mammalia; Artiodactyla; Bovidae. The record is from Rfam by way of RNAcentral.